CAAUCAUAUAUUGAAUUGUUUUCCAAUAUUUAAAUUGAGAAACCUUUAGAAUAAUGUAGCAUGGCAUAAUGUCUCGGUCUUGUUUUAGUCUACAACUGUUAAACUGGGAAGUUGGACAAUCAUUCAAACUUAGAUAAUGAAUUCUUAAAUGUUGUUGUUACACGCUACUUUCGCACUAACAUUGUAGAGGCUAGUUUUUUAUUUGGUGGAGGACGCUAAACUAGUAAUGCGAGUUUCUGGAAUAACAUUAUUUAAAACAAACUACUCAAUAGACGAUGACUUACUGCCAAUACUUUUAUGUCGAAUCUUCCGGUUUAUUUUCUUAUGAUUUAUACUAUACACUUAUACAGAUAUAAGUUUUACUGCUGUAAGCGAAUCCGACCAUUAUUUGAGUUACUUACUAAUAAUAAGAGAUUUCUCUAGACACAAAUUAUAGCUGUAUUGGGUCAGUGUUGGUUAGAAGACCCCUCCCCCCAAAUAAAAAAAAAUACUUUGAAGAAAAUUGUGUAAACACACUCCAAAUAUGGAAGUCAAGCUUAUGGAGUCAUGAAAUUAGAAGUUUAUUUCCUUUUUCUUUUGGAGGGAAGUUUGGCAGGGAGAAGGGUGUAUGUGUGCUGUAAUCGGGACACACAAUGUUUGUAUCUUAAACUUUAAAAGGCAAAAAUAAACAGAAAAAAAAAAAAAAAAACAAGAACAAACAAAAAGGAAAAAAAAAUUUUUUUUAUUUAAAUUUAUUCAUUAUAUUUCAACAGCCACGUCUUAUUUUUAAGUGACUUUCUUAAAUUUUAUGUUUCAACGUUUGAAAUAUUUUAUUUAGAUAUACCUGUUCACUCGCAAAAGAUUGUUUUUUUUUUAGUAAAUAGAGG
This 866-nucleotide long non-coding RNA is filed under the name Mytilus galloprovincialis (Mediterranean mussel). The record is from RNAcentral. Lineage: Eukaryota; Metazoa; Mollusca; Bivalvia; Mytilida; Mytilidae.